RNAcentral lists this ribosomal RNA (327 nucleotides) under uncultured eukaryote. RNAcentral's name for it is "partial 18S ribosomal RNA". It matches the Rfam family "Eukaryotic small subunit ribosomal RNA", at positions 1470 to 1796 of the family's 1831-position model. The record is from RNAcentral.
CCCUUAGAUGUUCUGGGCCGCACGCGCGCUACACUGAUUCAUGCAACAAGUUUUGUCCUUGGCUGAUAGACCUGGGUAAUCUUUGAACGUGAAUCGUGAUGGGGAUAGAUGAUUGCAAUUAUUCAUCUUCAACGAGGAAUUCCUAGUAAACGCAAGUCAUCAGCUUGCAUUGAUUACGUCCCUGCCCUUUGUACACACCGCCCGUCGCACCUACCGAUUGAAUGGUCCGGUGAAAUCUUCGGAUCUGAGAGAUGUCUGAUUAAUUUCGGACGCCUUUUGGAAAAGUUGUUUAAACCUUACCAUUUAGAGGAAGGUGAAGUCGUAACA